AUACGGAGGGUGCGAGCGUUACUCGGAGUCACUGGGCGUAAAGCGCGCGCAGGCGGCUAUUUAAGUUGGAUGUGAAAGCCUACGGCUCAACCGUAGAACUGCAUCCAAAACUAUUUAGCUAGAGUGUGGGAGAGGAAGAUGGAAUUAGUUGUGUAGGGGUAAAAUCCGUAGAGAUAACUAGGAAUACCAAAAGCGAAGGCAAUCUUCUGGAACACUACUGACGCUGAGGCGCGAAAGCGUGGGGAGCAAACGGGAUUAGAAACCCUUGUAGUCC
This 274-nucleotide ribosomal RNA is filed under the name uncultured bacterium. RNAcentral's name for it is "partial 16S ribosomal RNA". It matches the Rfam family "Bacterial small subunit ribosomal RNA", at positions 523 to 796 of the family's 1533-position model. The record is from RNAcentral.